This 505-nucleotide ribosomal RNA is filed under the name uncultured bacterium. Its description in RNAcentral is "partial 16S ribosomal RNA". It matches the Rfam family "Bacterial small subunit ribosomal RNA", at positions 28 to 507 of the family's 1533-position model. The record is from RNAcentral.
GACGAACGCUGGCGGCGUGCCUAAUACAUGCAAGUGGGACGCAAGGAAACACACUGUGCUUGCACACCGUGUUUUCUUGAGUCGCGAACGGGUGAGUAACGCGUAGGUAACCUGCCUAUUAGCGGGGGAUAACUAUUGGAAACGAUAGCUAAUACCGCAUAAUAUUAAUUAUUGCAUGAUAAUUGAUUGAAAGAUGCAAGCGCAUCACUAGUAGAUGGACCUGCGUUGUAUUAGCUAGUUGGUAAGGUAAGAGCUUACCAAGGCGACGAUACAUAGCCGACCUGAGAGGGUGAUCGGCCACACUGGGACUGAGACACGGCCCAGACUCCUACGGGAGGCAGCAGUAGGGAAUCUUCGGCAAUGGACGUAAGUCUGACCGAGCAACGCCGCGUGAGUGAAGAAGGUUUUCGGAUCGUAAAGCUCUGUUGUAAGUCAAGAACGUGUGUGAGAGUGGAAAGUUCACACAGUGACGGUAGCUUACCAGAAAGGGACGGCUAACUACGUG